Molecule: transfer RNA, 64 nt
Filed under: Thereuonema tuberculata
Lineage: Eukaryota; Metazoa; Arthropoda; Chilopoda; Scutigeromorpha; Scutigeridae
Description: tRNA-Ile
Source: RNAcentral
AACAAGAUGCCUGAUUAAAGGGUUAUUUCGAUAAAAUAAAUCAUGUACUUUUUUACUCUUGUUA